AAUUAGUGGCAGACGGGUGAGUAAUGCAUAGGAAUCUACCUAGUAGUAUAGGAUAGCCACUAGAAGUGGUGGGUAAUACUGUAUAAUCCCUGCGGGGGAAAGAUUUAUCGCUACAUGAUGAGCCUAUGUUAGAUUAGCUAGUUGGUGGGGUAAUGGCCUACCAAGGCAGUGAUCUAUAGCUGGUCUGAGAGGAUGAUCAGCCACACUGGAACUGAGACACGGUCCAGACUCCUACGGGAGGCAGCAGUGGGGAAUAUUGGACAAUGGGCGCAAGCCUGAUCCAGCUAUGCCGCGUGAGUGAGGAAGGCCUUAGGGUUGUAAAACUCUUUCAGUGGGGAAGAUAAUGACGGUACCCACAGAAGAAGUCCCGGCAAACUCCGUGCCAGCAGCCGCGGUAAUACGGAGGGGGCAAGCGUUGUUCGGAAUUAUUGGGCGUAAAGGGCAUGUAGGUGGUUUGGUUAGUUAAAGGUGAAAUGCCAGGGC
RNAcentral lists this ribosomal RNA (483 nucleotides) under uncultured Anaplasma sp. Its description in RNAcentral is "bacterial SSU rRNA". It matches the Rfam family "Bacterial small subunit ribosomal RNA", at positions 90 to 608 of the family's 1533-position model. The record is from RNAcentral. Lineage: Bacteria; Pseudomonadati; Pseudomonadota; Alphaproteobacteria; Rickettsiales; Anaplasmataceae.